UAUGGUAAAAAGAACUGACUCCUUCAGGUUC
This 31-nucleotide non-coding RNA is filed under the name Mus musculus (house mouse). Lineage: Eukaryota; Metazoa; Chordata; Mammalia; Rodentia; Muridae. The record is from RNAcentral.